ACCGCGUGAGGGAAGAAGGCUCUUGGGUCGUAAACCUCUUUUGUCAGGGAAGAACACAAUGACGGUACCUGACGAAUCAGCCUCGGCUAACUCCGUGCCAGCAGCCGCGGUAAUACGGAGGAGGCAAGCGUUAUCCGGAAUUAUUGGGCGUAAAGCGUCCGUAGGUGGCUAGUCAAGUCUGCGGUCAAAGACUGGGGCUUAACCCUGGAAAGGCCGUGGAAACUGACGAGCUAGAGUGCAGUAGGGGUAGAGGGAAUUCCCGGUGUAGCGGUGAAAUGCGUAGAGCUCGGGAAGAACAUCGGUGGCGAAAGCGCUCUACUGGACUGCAACUGACACUCAGGGACGAAAGCUAGGGGAGCGAAUGGGAUUAGAUACCCCAGUAGUCA
Molecule: ribosomal RNA, 386 nt
Filed under: uncultured cyanobacterium
Lineage: Bacteria; Bacillati; Cyanobacteriota
Description: bacterial SSU rRNA
Rfam family: Bacterial small subunit ribosomal RNA
Source: RNAcentral